AGUGAACGCUGGCGGUAGGCCUAACACAUGCAAGUCGAACGGCAGCACAGUGAGAGCUUGCUCUUACGGGUGGCGAGUGGCGGACGGGUGAGGAAUACAUCGGAAUCUACUUUUUCGUGGGGGAUAACGUAGGGAAACUUACGCUAAUACCGCAUACGACCUACGGGUGAAAGCAGGGGAUCUUCGGACCUUGCGCGAUUGAAUGAGCCGAUGUCGGAUUAGCUAGUUGGCGGGGUAAAGGCCCACCAAGGCGACGAUCCGUAGCUGGUCUGAGAGGAUGAUCAGCCACACUGGAACUGAGACACGGUCCAGACUCCUACGGGAGGCAGCAGUGGGGAAUAUUGGACAAUGGGCGCAAGCCUGAUCCAGCCAUACCGCGUGGGUGAAGAAGGCCUUCGGGUUGUAAAGCCCUUUUGUUGGGAAAGAAAAGCAGCAGGUUAAUACCCCGCUGCUCUGACGGUACCCAAAGAAUAAGCACCGGCUAACUUCGUG
RNAcentral lists this ribosomal RNA (492 nucleotides) under uncultured bacterium. RNAcentral's name for it is "partial 16S ribosomal RNA". It matches the Rfam family "Bacterial small subunit ribosomal RNA", at positions 29 to 507 of the family's 1533-position model. The record is from RNAcentral.